RNAcentral lists this ribosomal RNA (253 nucleotides) under uncultured bacterium. RNAcentral's name for it is "partial 16S ribosomal RNA". It matches the Rfam family "Bacterial small subunit ribosomal RNA", at positions 524 to 776 of the family's 1533-position model. The record is from RNAcentral.
UACGUAGGGGGCAAGCGUUGUCCGGAUUUAUUGGGCGUAAAGCGCGUGUAGGCGGCCAUACAGGUCAGCUGUGAAAACUCGAGGCUCAACCUCGAGACGUCGGUUGAAACCGUAUGGCUAGAGUCCGGAAGAGGAGAGUGGAAUUCCCGGUGUAGCGGUGAAAUGCGCAGAUAUCGGGAAGAACACCCGUGGCGAAGGCGGCUCUCUGGGACGGUACUGACGCUGAGACGCGAAAGCGUGGGGAGCGAACAGG